This 160-nucleotide long non-coding RNA is filed under the name Chinchilla lanigera (long-tailed chinchilla). Its description in RNAcentral is "lncRNA (ENSCLAG00000025832.1)". Lineage: Eukaryota; Metazoa; Chordata; Mammalia; Rodentia; Chinchillidae. The record is from RNAcentral.
UGGGAACUGACACAAGGCCAUCUUGAGACUAGGCCACAUUCAGCCUAGUCUCUUGAUAAGAGGUGAAGGUGGAUGUUGGUUGAGUAUACCACCUAGAAGUGACCCCUUAGGGUAUACAUCAUUCUACAUAUAUAAAAACAGAAGCCAAGAAGGAGGAUGU